AAGCGGAGCAUGAAAGCAUAUGGCUCAACCAUAUAAACAUGUUCUGAACUGCUAAGCUAGAGAAUGGUAGGGGUUACUGGAAUUCCUGGUGUAGGGGUAAAAUCCGUAGAUAUCAGGAGGAACACCAAUGGCGUAGGCAGGUAACUGGACCAUUUCUGACGCUCAGACACGAAAGCGUGGGUAGCGAUCGGGAUUAGAUACCCCGGUAGUCCACGCCGUAAACGAUGGAUGCUA
This 234-nucleotide ribosomal RNA is filed under the name uncultured Candidatus Saccharibacteria bacterium. Its description in RNAcentral is "partial 16S ribosomal RNA". It matches the Rfam family "Bacterial small subunit ribosomal RNA", at positions 585 to 818 of the family's 1533-position model. Lineage: Bacteria; Candidatus Saccharimonadota. The record is from RNAcentral.